CUACGGGAUGCAGCAGUGAGGAAUAUUGCACAAUGGGGGGAACCCUGAUGCAGCAACGCCGCGUGGAGGAUGACGCAUUUCGGUGUGUAAACUCCUUUUGUAUGUCAAGAAAAUGACGGUAGCAUAUGAAUAAGCACCGGCUAACUCCGUGCCAGCAGCCGCGGUAAUACGGAGGGUGCAAGCGUUACUCGGAAUCACUGGGCGUAAAGGACGCGUAGGCGGGUUGGAAAGUCAGGUGUGAAAUCCUACAGCUUAACUGUAGAACUGCACUUGAAACUUCUAAUCUAGAGUAUGGGAGGGGGAGAUGGAAUUAGUGGUGUAGGAGUAAAAUCCGUAGAUAUCACUAGGAAUACCUAAAGCGAAGGCGAUCUCCUGGAACAUUACUGACGCUAAGGCGUGAAAGCGUGGGGAGCAAACAGGAUUAGAUACCCCCGUAGUC
This 439-nucleotide ribosomal RNA is filed under the name uncultured bacterium. Its description in RNAcentral is "partial 16S ribosomal RNA". It matches the Rfam family "Bacterial small subunit ribosomal RNA", at positions 339 to 795 of the family's 1533-position model. The record is from RNAcentral.